CAGGCUGCUCUAUAGGGUCUUGUGCAAGGCACUGUGGACAUGCUCCACCCUUGGGCUUGAGGUUCAGCAGCAGAGUACCUGACCCUAUUCCAUUUUAGCAGCACGGAUAUGGACUAUAACCAGACCACUUCCUAUGGCACCUGAGCCAGACUGAGGUGAUGGCUGUUUAGACCUCCUUCAUGCAGCACCUUUCCUCACGAUCAGCUUGCACCUCAUCCUUAUGACUCCAGAGCUACACUGAAACUUUACUCUUGAGACCAAGAGAGUGGAGAAGGAAUUAACAGGAUGCUCCUGAGCACCGUGGAAACUCCUGUUUUACUCAGCAGGAAAGACCUUUUCUCACCAGAAGCAAGGUAUUUCCCAGUCUGUGGCUGGUUUAUCAAAAGGAACAGAGCCAUGUCCUCACCCUGCAGCACCAAACCCUCCAUGGUUUUGCUCAGAGAAGAUUUUUUGGGCUACACUACUACAGGCAGGGGUGAAUGGGAUCCAUCUCCCUGCAGCGAGUGGCUACCGUUCAUUGUUUUUACAAACCAAAACUGAUGCACCCUCAACCUGUCACUGAACCACUGAUGGAACCUGACUGGCUGCUGCAGGCCCUGGAAUAGAGUCCAGCUGCAAUCCAUUAGUGCAGAAAAAUUCUCUGCAAGGAAAAAUCAGCAGCUUAUACUAAAAAAACAGAGCUGUUACAGCAUGACACUUUUCUGUUCUGUCUGCGUUAUUGUGGCAAUGUUCUUGCAGACUAUAUUUAAAAUGAAGCUAUAAAAAUAAAUUCUGAUUAGAUUUGAAUGCUUGAUGAAAUCAGCAUACAAUUUAGUUUUUCCACAGGGUGUUCAAGAAUAUUCAUAAGAGCUCUUUAAUUAUUMAAUAAUUACAAAUCACUCAUUAAAACAUUAUUCAUUUCACCAUAUAAUCAUGCCAAGUCAUAUAUCUCAAACCCUAGAAUUUUUCGUUUCUUAGUGCCAGACAGAUCCAAGCAAAGUUAAUUGAAUGUUUUUAAUAUUUAUGUAGUUAAAUGGCUAGUUCCCUAAACUGCAGCAGAGUCAUCAGACGAGGCCCAAAUCACAGGGAGAGCUCAUGAGCGUAUCAUGGGCUCAGCAGGCAGUGCAACUUAUGAAAUGCAUAGGAUGACACUUGGUUAAAUCGAAAAAAUACUCUUGCUAUCCCAUUAGAUUUGUCUAAGUUCUCCACAGGACCCAUAAGGGAACAUUUGCACUUUGCUUUCCUUAGGUCAAAGCAUCCCUAUUGCUUUUACUCCAUCAGUUACUCACCAGCUCCUGUUCCAAGGUACUUUCCCUCACUAUCCAAGCAGACAAAWGGAAAAUCUUGGGUGAARAAUGCUUGCUUGACUCCUCCAGAURAUGACAAAACACCUCAUCAGUCAGAGGGAUGAGGACACUAGCAAAAAUUUAGUUAGCAUUUCAGCCAUCCCAUCAUCCAGAAWGACCUCAGAGAAUAAYUACACCCGUGUAAAGAGGAGCUGCCUUUUUAUCCAAGCAUUUUCUGUGAAGCAGAUGUCACAUUUCCCCUUUUAUGAGUAAACUGAGGGUUUGACCAAACUAGAGUGGUUCCAGGGCUGGGUGGGGAUCAGGCUCACCUGAGGUUAGGAGAACAAACAUCUGGUGUGGGCAGCACACACCUGGUCACACCCUGAGGMCACCUGAGCCCAGGAGGGCUGCCAAGGAGCAGAGGGCACCAGAAAAAAGGCCACUCCAGAGACUCAUUGUCCUGAGUGCUGGGAUAGCUCUGUUCCCUCUGAAUCCAUAACUUUCCCUGUAAUUAUCUCAAGGGCCACUGACUAUAACGAGACAAAAAUAUGUUUUAUACUGAACAACUUUUUUUCCUGCCUGGCUGUUUUUCCAGCAUUUUAAUAACGUCCACRGGGUUUGUUCAGGGUCACAAGGGAAGAUGGUGGCAGAGCUGGGGACAAGGCUGAGAAAAAUCUCAUUCUCAUUCUUUCUAUCCACUGAGGAAUGCACUUUGCCAAAUCAAAGUGACAGGAUGAGUUCAAAGGCAAAGCAGCAAACUUAGCAGUUAAUCCAAGCAUUAUUUCUACAAAUGAUACUAUAUCAUACUGACAGAGAUGAGGCCCACUCCUUGACCUUAUUUUUGGCAGAAUUGCUUUCUCUGGAGAGAAAAAAAGCAUUCUGUAUUCUUGAGGUAGAGUUAUGGACACCCUUAGUAAUUGAAUAUAGUUCCUUUCCUUACCCAGCAGGCUACUGAAGAUUCGAUAUCUGCAGAAAUAGCCAUGGAAAGGCUGACAAAAUAUCCAUCUGCUUACAAAGUCACAGCACAGCGUGCCCACCUAUGGUAGGAGAGUAAAGGCUGCAACCUGCUGUGCCACAGAAAGAGGUCAGAAGGGUGGAUGACACUGCAAAUAUGCAGGUGUAGCAAAACAGAGGCCUGUGACACCUAGAAAUUAUAAUUGUGUUAGAAUAUAAUUAAUAUGCCUGCCUUCAUUUUAAAUAUGCACAAGGAUGGUGUAACUAAGAGCAUGUAAGUAUUUUGUAACACUCGAGGCACAGCAAGAUGAAAACCUUAAGUAUUUUGGAUAGGUAUGUGAGCARCAUGACUACCAAAGAUGGGUGAAGCUGCAAGUAGGUGGCAUUCAGCUAACAAAAACUGCCAGAGGGAGAACRCGAUCAGCACAUGGGACUGCAAAUAGCCAGGACAGCCUGCAGACUACACGAGAAGGACGACUGGCAAAGUGAUACUGGGAGGAGGUGAGGUCUUCCUUACUGAAAGCAGAACAUAGYAUAAACCAUCAGGCAUAAGCGAUUUUUUUUUUUUUUUAACAGAGAAAAGAAAGAUGACAGGGUCAUCUUUGAAAAGAUCUAUGAAAAAUGGCCUCUCUCGUAAAUGGGCUUUCAGGCCUGGUCACCAAAUCUUGGCACACAGGAACCACCGAAGAC
Long non-coding RNA from Malurus melanocephalus (red-backed fairy wren), 2909 nucleotides. RefSeq lists it as uncharacterized. The transcript is spliced from 3 exons. The record is from RefSeq and is a predicted model, not a curated record. Lineage: Eukaryota; Metazoa; Chordata; Aves; Passeriformes; Maluridae.